GACGAACGCUGGCGGCGUGCUUAACACAUGCAAGUCGAGCGGUAAGGCCCUUUCGGGGGUACGACGAGCGGCGAACGGGUGGGUAACGACGUGGGUGACCUGCCCUCCAGCUCUGGGAUAAGCCUGGGAAACGUGGGUCUAAUACCGGAUAUGACUCCAUGACGCAUGUUGUGGGGUGGAAAGCCUUGUGCGGCUGAGGAUGGGCCCGCGGCCUAUCAGCUUGUUGGUGGGGUGAUGGCCUACCAAGGCGACGACGGGUAGCCGGCCUGAGAGGGCGACCGGCCACACUGGGACUGAGACACGGCCCAGACUCCUACGGGAGGGCAGCAGUGGGGAAUCUUGCGCAAUGGGCGAAAGCCUGACGCAGCGACGCCGCGUGAGGGA
This 384-nucleotide ribosomal RNA is filed under the name uncultured bacterium. Its description in RNAcentral is "bacterial SSU rRNA". It matches the Rfam family "Bacterial small subunit ribosomal RNA", at positions 28 to 408 of the family's 1533-position model. The record is from RNAcentral.